Molecule: transfer RNA, 69 nt
Filed under: Fasciola hepatica (liver fluke)
Lineage: Eukaryota; Metazoa; Platyhelminthes; Trematoda; Plagiorchiida; Fasciolidae
Description: tRNA-Thr
Source: RNAcentral
GCCUACUUGCUCAGCUGGUAGAGCAUCUUCAUGGUGAGCAGAAUAUCUCCGGUUCGAUUCCGGCUUGCA